AUAUGAUGCUUGUGUCAAGUUAGAGGAGGAUGUAUUUUCCGCAAUCCAAACUGAGUGACCUGAAAUUUGCAAGAAACAUAUGUUCGCUAUGAUGUCACAAAUGCAUGAAUCCACAGAGGACACAAUGCGAUCUAAUGGCCACAUUAUCACCUCGAACCACGAGAGAGAGAAUAAUUCUAAAAAACUGUCGCAUUAGAGUUUAGGUUUAUGGGACCAAAAGCAUCAAUCAAUAAUUUAAAGUCCAGGUAAAAUUAUUUGCACAUGUACAUUAUAAAUUAACCAUUAUUCCAGCCUGGGGUGGAAACAUACAAGUGUUUCCAUCCCAAUAUCGAUGAAAACUAACCUGACCGAGCAGCAAUCAAUCUUCCAAAUAGUGCAGAACUUAUGAAAUAAAAACCUGUUAGAUGUGAAUGACAUGAUCCAUAGUGCACUGAGCUUGAGCAUUAAGGUAGCAUCCCCCUAAAUGAGAAUUUCUUAUAAAGCAAAUGAUACCAGAAAGUGCAAAAAACUACGAUAAUAAUGCAAAAUUUAACAUUUCGAAUGUCAAUUAGAUACCAAUGUAUAUGUAGAAUUAAUGGAUGAAUCUUAGUUGAAGAACACAUGGCAUGAUGUAAUAAGGGUUCAUGAAACAAAGAUGUAUAUACUUAUCCUAUCAGUCGAGAAACGACAGGUACACUUCAGAUUGGGCUGCAAGUCUUUAGGUAUUUACUCAAUUGGUCCAAACACAAGAUUCUUUCGAGUGCAAAAAGCCACUAGAAUUCGGUCGAACAAAACUUUGUUGUUUGUCCCUUGGGCUCUUUUACAUUAUGGUGGGUUCGAACUGGAAGCAUCCAAGAAUUAUAGCUGAGUUUAUAGCAGAAACCAUCACCAAGCCAGCUUGUAUGCUAUAGGUGCUAUAUUGAUUCGAAUGUAGAACGUGCAAAGCACCCGACUGGAAUUGGUUCCACCGAUCAAACCGGGCCUAAUACAAGUCCUGAUCAUAGCAAUUUUCUAGGAAUCAAACUAAGAGCUUAGCAGCCACAAACCAUGUAAACUACCCACAUUAGUUCUUCCAUCUUUCUCUUCUCCCUCUCAUUAGGUGAACUCUCGAGGUAAAGCGAGCGAAUUUGACAUCUCAAGACCCCAAAACCAUCUCGCCAAAGCCUACCAAAUCGCCAAGCUCAUCAUCAAACACAAAAAUACGAGUCUUACUAAUAAAGAUUCGAAGCACUAAAGAAACAAAACAAAAAAAAAAGUGAACUUUUUUUGCGACGAAGCAUCAAACAGGAAACCGGAAGAAAGAAAUUACGAUGAGAAAUAUGAACAUCCAACGCUCGGAUGAGGCCACACCGGCCAAUGACCAUUAGGGCGACAUCUGGAGAAUGGAAGAAUACCUGAAAAGAAUUCGACCGAUUCGACCGGAGGAGAAAACUUGGCAAGGAGGAAGGCGACGGGGAGGCGAAGGGCGAGAACAGCGCUGGUAUUGAGCGGGUGCGGACCCGAAAUCCUAUAAGUGGGUUUGGGUCUGUAUACGACGAGGCCGGGAACCGACCCGCGUGGGCUAAAGGACCGCUUCUUCACUAUCGGGUCGGAGUGUAUACAUACCCGACUCGCUGAGGACCCGAAAUUUAUUUGGGUUCGUCUUGCUCGGUCGAGCGAUCCGAUCCAACCGCAAAAUGCCGUCCGCGAUCCUUCCUGCUACCGUCGCCAUCCGCCGGUCCGCCACCGCCGCCAGUCAAACUCUCUCCUCCACAAAUACCUGUCGGGGGCCUACAGAUUCCCCUUCUCCUCCGGUUUCUGCCGUGGCAGCGGUGGCCCCCAGGUGGUACGUGUCCAAGUGGCAAUGGAAGCGGAUGCAGCAGAAUGCGAAGCAGCUGCUCAACGCCCGCCUCUUCCCGUCUUCCACAGUGUGAAACCGUAUGGCGUCACCCGGGGAUCGAACAGGACUCGGGGGACGGGGCAGAGGAGGAGCUGAGGUUUGAUGAUUACAUCGCCAGGGGAGCGGGUGGCAUUAAUAUUUGGAGGAAGAGGAGGUCAAUAAGGUACUUGAACAAUGGACAGUCAUCGGCCCACGGGAGAAGGAUAUCAAUGUGAAAGCAAAGAAUCUAGACCGAUCAAGGUGAUCAAAGUUCGACUUUUGCCUCAGAGAUUUAAUUCAAGAUCCCUGAGGAACUUCAAUCGUCAAGAUAGGGGUGCAGGGGAGGAUGAGAUGAUUGAUAGAUCAAGCAUCGUGUCAAUUCUCAGAUGCAAAUAUUUCCAGGUCGACUUGGUUGUGACGACGUCAGCGACAUCAUGGGUGAAUACAAGGACUUGAAGGUGGAGGUUGGAGAAGCUAAUUCUGUCAGGCUGAAUGGUAUCCAAGAGAAGAGACCAUGGGAAUGGCAGAAGCCGAGGAUCUGGGCUCAAUUUAGAUCUAACAUGGUUGAAGUAAUGGCUUCUGCUAAAGUUUCAAACCGGUGAGAUGGGGGGCAAUGGAAGAUACUGCCGUGGCAAUAGUAGGUCCAACACAGAGAGCAGAACACUGCAAACACCUACUGGAUUAUAUAACGGGGAAGGUAACUACAGGAGGAAAAAUGCCAUGCUGAAUGAAGAUAAUAGCUUCGGAAGGAACGUUUAGGGAUCCCACCGAUGAAAGAAAGCCUAAAUUGUCAAUUGAAAUUUUCAGAAGUUGCAGACUUAAAUUCCGAUGUAUCCCCAGAAGAUGCUACAUGAGCUAC
RNAcentral lists this long non-coding RNA (2696 nucleotides) under Musa acuminata (dwarf banana). Its description in RNAcentral is "long non-coding RNA (MACU_LNC003089)". Lineage: Eukaryota; Viridiplantae; Streptophyta; Magnoliopsida; Zingiberales; Musaceae. The record is from RNAcentral.